CCUACGGGAGGCAGCAGUGAGGAAUAUUGGUCAAUGGACGAGAGUCUGAACCAGCCAAGUAGCGUGAAGGAUGACUGCCCUAUGGGUUGUAAACUUCUUUUAUAUGGGAGUAAAAUGUUCCACGUGUGGGAUUUUGUAUGUACCAUAUGACUAAGGAUCGGCUAACUCCGUGCCAGCAGCCGCGGUAAUACGGAGGAUCCGAGCGUUAUCCGGAUUUAUUGGGUGUAAAGGGAGCGUAGGUGGAUUGUUAAGUCCGUUGUGAAAGUUUGCGGCUCAACCGUAAAAUUGCAGUUGAAACUGGCAGUCUUGAGUACAGUAGAGGUGGGCGGAAUUCGUGGUGUAGCGGUGAAAUGCUUAGAUAUCACGAAGAACUCCGAUUGCGAAGGCAGCUCACUGGACAGUAACUGACACUGAGGCUCGAAAGUGUGGGGAUCAAACAGGAUUAGAUACCCUAGUAGUC
RNAcentral lists this ribosomal RNA (460 nucleotides) under uncultured bacterium. RNAcentral describes it as "partial 16S ribosomal RNA". It matches the Rfam family "Bacterial small subunit ribosomal RNA", at positions 338 to 795 of the family's 1533-position model. The record is from RNAcentral.